RNAcentral lists this ribosomal RNA (508 nucleotides) under uncultured bacterium. RNAcentral's name for it is "bacterial SSU rRNA". It matches the Rfam family "Bacterial small subunit ribosomal RNA", at positions 22 to 518 of the family's 1533-position model. The record is from RNAcentral.
GGUCAGGAUGAACGCAGCGACAGGCCUAACACAUGCAAGUCGAGGGGCAGCGACAAGGAGCAAUCUGAGGUGGCGACCGGCGCACGGGUGAGUAACACGUAUGCAACCUGCCUGUAAGCGGGGAAUAAACCCGUUGAAAAGACGGACUAAUAACCGCAUAAUACUAAAUUACUGCAUGGUAAUUUAUUUAAAACAUUUAUGGCUUACAGAUGGGCAUGCGCAUGAUUAGCUAGUUGGAGAGGUAACGGCUCCCCAAGGCAACGAUCAUUAGGGGUUCUGAGAGGAAGGUCCCCCACACUGGUACUGAGACACGGACCAGACUCCUACGGGAGGCAGCAGUGAGGAAUAUUGGUCAAUGGACGAGAGUCUGAACCAGCCAAGUCGCGUGCAAGGAAGAAUGUUCCCUAUGGAUUGUAAAUUGCUUUUGCAGGGGAAUAAAGUGCAUCACGUGUGAUGUUUUGUAUGUACUCUGCGAAUAAGGAUCGGCUAACUCCGUGCCAGCCGCAGC